UACAGAGGUCUCAAGCGUUGUUCGGAAUCACUGGGCGUAAAGGGUGCGUCGGCCGCACGGUAAGUCAGAGGUGAAAUCCCGGAGCUCAACUCCGGAAAUGCCUCCGAUACUGCCGUGCUUGAGGACUGGAGAGGAGUCUGGAAUUCACAGUGGAGCAGUGAAAUGCGUAGAUAUUGUGAGGAACACUAGUGGCGAAGGCGAGACUCUGGACAGUUCCUGACGCUGAGGCACGAAGGCCAGGGGAGCAAACGGG
This 253-nucleotide ribosomal RNA is filed under the name uncultured bacterium. RNAcentral's name for it is "partial 16S ribosomal RNA". It matches the Rfam family "Bacterial small subunit ribosomal RNA", at positions 524 to 776 of the family's 1533-position model. The record is from RNAcentral.